ACUACAGAUCAGGACAAGUCUAUCGCUGGACAGAGGGAGAGAGCAGCCCGCGCACAUCUGAGCCGCGUGACGUCAUCACACAGCGCCAACCCAACUCACAGCAGCAGCUGCCGUACAGGCAAUACCAGAGAGGGAGAGGACAACAUCGCAGACCGAAACGCUGGGGGAGCAGACCGCUGAAUUACAGCAGCGAGGAGCUGUCAGGAGGCGAAUCUAGCACAGAGGCUUUUUUAGGAGAAGGCCCCCAGGACCACCGAGGCACCAGAGAAGAGGGGGCAAAAGGCACCAACGUUCUAAGAAACAGCCAAGCACAGAGACAGCAACCUGGACGGACAGCACGCCAACAACCAAAACGUUAUCAACAUUUAUGAAGAAUGGGUACAUGAUCCCGGACUGCAUCGAGGUGAUUCCAAUUGGAACUAUCCUCUCCGGGCAAAAGG
Xenopus laevis (African clawed frog) is the source of this 440-nucleotide long non-coding RNA. RefSeq lists it as uncharacterized. The transcript is spliced from 2 exons. The record is from RefSeq and is a predicted model, not a curated record. NCBI's taxonomy places the organism in Eukaryota, Metazoa, Chordata, Amphibia, Anura, Pipidae.